Molecule: ribosomal RNA, 253 nt
Filed under: uncultured bacterium
Lineage: Bacteria
Description: partial 16S ribosomal RNA
Rfam family: Bacterial small subunit ribosomal RNA
Source: RNAcentral
UACAGAGGUCUCAAGCGUUGUUCGGAUUCAUUGGGCGUAAAGGGUGCGUAGGCGGCGCGGUAAGUCGGGUGUGAAAUCUCGGGGCUUAACUCCGAAACUGCAUUCGAUACUGCCGUGCUUGAGGACUGGAGAGGAGACUGGAAUUUACGGUGUAGCGGUGAAAUGCGUAGAUAUCGGGAGGAACACCAAUGGCGAAGGCAGCUCGCUGGGACGGUACUGACGCUGAGGCGCGAAAGCGUGGGGAGCAAACAGG